RNAcentral lists this ribosomal RNA (484 nucleotides) under uncultured bacterium. RNAcentral describes it as "partial 16S ribosomal RNA". It matches the Rfam family "Bacterial small subunit ribosomal RNA", at positions 30 to 507 of the family's 1533-position model. The record is from RNAcentral.
AUUGAACGCUGGCGGCAGGCCUAACACAUGCAAGUCGAGCGGAUGAAGGGAGCUUGCUCCUGGAUUCAGCGGCGGACGGGUGAGUAAUGCCUAGGAAUCUGCCUGGUAGUGGGGGAUAACGUCCGGAAACGGGCGCUAAUACCGCAUACGUCCUGAGGGAGAAAGUGGGGGAUCUUCGGACCUCACGCUAUCAGAUGAGCCUAGGUCGGAUUAGCUAGUUGGUGGGGUAAAGGCCUACCAAGGCGACGAUCCGUAACUGGUCUGAGAGGAUGAUCAGUCACACUGGAACUGAAACACGGUCCAGACUCCUACGGGAGGCAGCAGUGGGGAAUAUUGGACAAUGGGCGAAAGCCUGAUCCAGCCAUGCCGCGUGUGUGAAGAAGGUCUUCGGAUUGUAAAGCACUUUAAGUUGGGAGGAAGGGCAGUAAGUUAAUACCUUGCUGUUUUGACGUUACCAACAGAAUAAGCACUGGCUAACUUCGUG